This 27-nucleotide small RNA is filed under the name Bombyx mori (domestic silkworm). Its description in RNAcentral is "piRNA piR-bmo-1640523". Lineage: Eukaryota; Metazoa; Arthropoda; Insecta; Lepidoptera; Bombycidae. The record is from RNAcentral.
UUGAUAAAUACUUACGCAGGCAUGGAU